Molecule: unclassified non-coding RNA, 642 nt
Filed under: Hevea brasiliensis (rubber tree)
Lineage: Eukaryota; Viridiplantae; Streptophyta; Magnoliopsida; Malpighiales; Euphorbiaceae
Source: RNAcentral
AUUUUGAUUCACAAUGGAAAAUCAGCAAGAGAAACAGAAGGCCAAUGACAAGAAACAGAGUUCCAAGGGCAAGAAAAAGCCUAUACCAGGUCAUUCUCUCUCAAAGACACACACGUUAACAAACUGAUGUUGUUCAGUUCAUUUAUUUAUUUUGCAAGUUCUGAUAUAGCUUCUGAACUAACUUGAAUUCUAAACUAAAAUGACUCACAGUUAAGAUUAGAAAAUGUUGUCCGCACGUCGUAAAACCCAAGGGGGAUAGAAGCUUUCUCGAAGGAUGCCUCUUUGCUUUGUGUUGCUGUUGGAUCUGUGACAUGUGCUUUGAUACCACUGUUGUGGUUGGGUAAGAGGCUAGAUGAGAGAGGCUGCAGCAGAUCAAAAUCAUCUUCACCAGGCUUGAUCCAUAUACAUCACCUAGCUUUUCAUGUAUCUACUGUUUGAUUGAAUAAUUUUAUAUAUAUCCUUGUGCAAGAUAUAUGUAAUUCUUUGAGUCUGGCUCAAGCUUGUGUUCUCGUGUUGGUUGCUUCUUGGAGUCCUUGGAAAUUUUGAAGUUUUAUAGACAUAUAUAUGUAUUUGGAACAGUUUUUGUGUGUAUAAUGAAUAAUGUUAUAAGCAUGAUUUUUCUUACUUGAGCCUUAGGAACAG